Molecule: long non-coding RNA, 359 nt
Filed under: Elaeis guineensis (African oil palm)
Lineage: Eukaryota; Viridiplantae; Streptophyta; Magnoliopsida; Arecales; Arecaceae
Description: long non-coding RNA (EGUI_LNC023792)
Source: RNAcentral
AAAAAGUCCUCCGGCCGUCGGGCCGGAGUCUGGUCACCGCCGUCGAUCGAAGCAGCGAGCUCAGGGACUACCGAGGGAAGGAUCGGUGUCCCAUCCUCGGACCGUCAGGGAUGGCACUGGCAGAGGGUACAAGCUUUGGUAACCCGGCCGAGGUCGAGGGAGGUAAGCUCACGAGGGGAGUAAGCGAAUCCAUUAAUUGGGCUGAGUAACGAUUCUCGCUAAACGUGUGGGAGAAAGAACCGGAGAACUCCGACGGCUGGUUUCCUGGAAGGUUCGCAUUUGUUUUCUAAUGGAUUUUAUAUGUCUUUAUUCCGUGUUUCUGUUUAUCCUUUUUAAUGCUAUGCGGAAUUCUUGGCGGA